AUUGGACAAAGAGGAAAAACAUUACCUGAUACCUUUGUGACUUACAGUCUACAGAACUCAAGCCAACAGAACCAUGUCUGGAGUCAAGGGACAGAAGAAAUGCCCAGACCCAUGCCCAGAGCCUUGCCCACCACCAUGCCCUCCACCUCAGCAAUGCCAGGAUCCCUGUGACCCAUGCCCCAAGCCAGUUCCACAAUGCCAAGAUCCCUGUAAACCGGCUCCACAGCAGUGUCAGCAGGAUGUGAAAUGUGUGAAGAAGUGUUAAUAAGAAGGAACCGUGUUAUGGAGAAAAUGUCCAUUGCUUGACCCGAAUGACCCACCUACUCUGAUCAUCUAAAUAUUUUAACUUAAUUGCGCUGUAUGUGAUUUCUAUGUGAAAGCUUGUAUCUUGUAGUAAAGAUGAAUUUUACAAUUUGUCACUGAGCCAAAAAAUCUGGAUUAAAAUUGAAUCUGAAUCAAACUG
Long non-coding RNA from Pelobates fuscus (common spadefoot toad), 463 nucleotides. RefSeq lists it as uncharacterized. Lineage: Eukaryota; Metazoa; Chordata; Amphibia; Anura; Pelobatidae. The record is from RefSeq and is a predicted model, not a curated record. The transcript has 3 exons.